This 468-nucleotide ribosomal RNA is filed under the name uncultured bacterium. Its description in RNAcentral is "bacterial SSU rRNA". It matches the Rfam family "Bacterial small subunit ribosomal RNA", at positions 33 to 507 of the family's 1533-position model. The record is from RNAcentral.
GACGACGCUGGCGGCGUGCCUGACACAUGCAAGUCGGACGGUUCUUGCACCUUCAAGCUUGCUUGCUGGUGCAGGGAUAGUGGCGGACGGGUGAGUAACGCGUGAACAUCUACCCAUUGGAGGGGGACAACCCGUCGAAAGGCGGGCUAAUACCGCGUAAGCCGUGAGGUGAGAGGCUGCCUAUUGGUGGCCGCCGAUGGAUGGGUUCGCGUCCUAUCAGCUGGUUGGUGGGGUAACGGCCUACCAAGGCGAAGACGGGUAGCCGGUCUGAGAGGAUGGCCGGCCACACUGGAACUGAGACACGGUCCAGACUCCUACGGGAGGCAGCAGUGGGGAAUAUUGGGCAAUGGGGGUAACCCUGACCCAGCGACGCCGCGUGAGGGACGAAGGUUUUCGGAUCGUAAACCUCUGUUGUACGGGAAGAAGGAAUUGACGGUACCGUACGAGAAAGCCCCGGCAAACUACGUG